RNAcentral lists this ribosomal RNA (19 nucleotides) under Oryctolagus cuniculus (rabbit). Its description in RNAcentral is "60S ribosomal RNA fragment from Oryctolagus cuniculus (PDB 3J0Q, chain 9)". The record is from RNAcentral. Lineage: Eukaryota; Metazoa; Chordata; Mammalia; Lagomorpha; Leporidae.
UGGAGAACAGAAAUCUCCA